GUUUGAUCCUGGCUCAGGAUGAACGCUAGCGGCAGGCUUAACACAUGCAAGUCGAGGGGUAUAGGUUUUCGGACCUAGAGACCGGCGCACGGGUGCGUAACGCGUAUGCAAUCUACCUUUCACAGAGGGAUAGCCCAGAGAAAUUUGGAUUAAUACCUCAUAGUAUAGCAGUUUCGCAUGAAACCACUAUUAAAGUCACAACGGUGAAAGAUGAGCAUGCGUCCCAUUAGCUAGUUGGUAAGGUAACGGCUUACCAAGGCAACGAUGGGUAGGGGUCCUGAGAGGGAGAUCCCCCACACUGGUACUGAGACACGGACCAGACUCCUACGGGAGGCAGCAGUGAGGAAUAUUGGACAAUGGGCGCAAGCCUGAUCCAGCCAUGCCGCGUGCAGGAUGACGGUCCUAUGGAUUGUAAACUGCUUUUGUACAGGAAGAAACACUCCCUCGUGAGGGAGCUUGACGGUANUGUAAGAAUAAGGAUCGGCUAACUCAA
RNAcentral lists this ribosomal RNA (493 nucleotides) under Flavobacterium sp. MF66. RNAcentral describes it as "bacterial SSU rRNA". It matches the Rfam family "Bacterial small subunit ribosomal RNA", at positions 11 to 505 of the family's 1533-position model. The record is from RNAcentral. Lineage: Bacteria; Pseudomonadati; Bacteroidota; Flavobacteriia; Flavobacteriales; Flavobacteriaceae.